This 24-nucleotide non-coding RNA is filed under the name Cricetulus griseus (Chinese hamster). The record is from RNAcentral. Lineage: Eukaryota; Metazoa; Chordata; Mammalia; Rodentia; Cricetidae.
UAGUAGUGCAUAGAAUUCUAGCUU